Manis pentadactyla (Chinese pangolin) is the source of this 278-nucleotide long non-coding RNA. RefSeq lists it as uncharacterized. The record is from RefSeq and is a predicted model, not a curated record. NCBI's taxonomy places the organism in Eukaryota, Metazoa, Chordata, Mammalia, Pholidota, Manidae. The transcript is spliced from 3 exons.
AGAAGUGGACUCAGGGACAAUUUCAGCAAAGAAUAUUGUAGACUGUGGCUCAAAUACAGCUAUCUGAAAGCAAGAAAUUUCCACUCCACUCCUGAAGAAGAAGGGACACUUUGGGCUUCAUCCAGACCCAUUACUAAUUUACUGACUGGAAAGGAGAGUGAUUUAUCUGAUUGAUUCACUUUCAUUUGAAGUAACUUCAGGAGCUGAUGGCAAUGAUAUUUCAGCUAUUUGCACAAGAUUAGAUAGUUUCUCGUGAAUUGAAAUAACUCUAAAAAUAA